AUUCAACUGAUGAGUCUCAAAUAGGACGAAACGUGCGUCCUGGAU
RNAcentral lists this non-coding RNA (45 nucleotides) under Schistosoma margrebowiei. Lineage: Eukaryota; Metazoa; Platyhelminthes; Trematoda; Strigeidida; Schistosomatidae. The record is from RNAcentral.